CUUGCUUGGUGGAUCAUUGGCGAACGGGUGAGUAACACGUGAGCAACCUGCCCUGGACUCUGGGAUAAGCGCUGGAAACGGUGUCUAAUACUGGAUAUGAGAUGUGAUCGCAUGGUCAUGUUUGGAAAGAUUUUUCGGUCUGGGAUGGGCUCGCGGCCUAUCAGCUUGUUGGUGAGGUAAUGGCUCACCAAGGCGUCGACGGGUAGCCGGCCUGAGAGGGUGACCGGCCACACUGGGACUGAGACACGGCCCAGACUCCUACGGGAGGCAGCAGUGGGGAAUAUUGCACAAUGGGCGGAAGCCUGAUGCAGCAACGCCGCGUGAGGGAUGACGGCCUUCGGGUUGUAAACCUCUUUUAGCAGGGAAGAAGCGUAAGUGACGGUACCUGCAGAAAAAGCGCCGGCUAACUACGUGCCAGCAGCCGCGGUAAUACGUAGGGCGCAAGCGUUAUCCGGAAUUAUUGGGCGUAAAGAGCUCGUAGGCGGUUUGUCGCGUCUGCUGUGAAAUCCCGAGGCUCAACCUCGGGUCUGCAGUGGGUACGGGCAGACUAGAGUGCGGUAGGGGAGAUUGGAAUUCCUGGUGUAGCGGUGGAAUGCGCUNAUAUCANGAGGAACACCGAUGGCNAAGGCNNAUCUCUGGGCCGNANNUGACNNNGANGAGCNNANGGGUGGGGANC
RNAcentral lists this ribosomal RNA (676 nucleotides) under bacterium P1. Its description in RNAcentral is "partial 16S ribosomal RNA". It matches the Rfam family "Bacterial small subunit ribosomal RNA", at positions 79 to 769 of the family's 1533-position model. The record is from RNAcentral.